AAACCAACAGGGAUUGCCUCAGUAACGGCGAGUGAAGCGGCAAAAGCUCAAAUUUGAAAUCUAGCACUUUCAGUGUUCGAGUUGUAAUUUGAAGAAGGUAACUUUGGUUUUGGCUCUGUCUAUGUUCCUUGGAACAGGACGUCACAGAGGGUGAGAAUCCC
Molecule: ribosomal RNA, 161 nt
Filed under: uncultured Candida
Lineage: Eukaryota; Fungi; Ascomycota; Saccharomycetes; Saccharomycetales
Description: partial 26S ribosomal RNA
Rfam family: Eukaryotic large subunit ribosomal RNA
Source: RNAcentral